ACACACACGCACACACACAAAAAAAAAAGAGAGAAAAAGAAAAGCAGCAGCAUGACAUAAAACAGACAUGUUGGUGUUAUGUAUCCACUUGCAAGCCAGAUUGAGGGAAGCUUUUGUCUUCAGCUGCUUUCUGUCAUACAGUCUGCUGACCUGAUUUUACCCAAGCAUGCUAAGAGAUGCACAUAUUCACAGUCUUUGUUACAUGUGUGAUAUCCCAUUUUUCCACCAACACUGGUGUAUGCGACCCACAGAAGCACAGAAAAUAUGUUGGCUCUGCAGAAGAAUAUCGACCUUAAUCAUCCAGAAAGUGCUAUCGCAUACAGGAAAUAAAUGCUAGGAAAUAGAAUAUUUUCUGAUUUUCUUCUAUAUUAUGUUCUCAACUGUAAAAUAAUUGUCAUAAUUGGUGUUUACUAUGCAAUCUAACUUUAAUUAUGAAUGAUGAAGAGUUAUUUCUUAUAAUUCCAGUUGUAGAUACCCCCAAAGACCCAGAUGUGAGAGCUGACUCUGGAAGUCAGCCAGUGUCCACAGGCUCUGGAGCCAGCAUGAGGACUGCAUCCUCAUGGCCUUGGUAGGGGCACUGGGGACCCAUGUCAUAAGGCUGCUUAAGUGCCCGUGGUCUAUAGAACUCUUUGGAUUGCUAUUUUGUUCUUCAAGGCUUUUUAUCCCCUCUUAGGCACAAGUGUAAAGGCCCUGGAGUCCAGCUUCCUACCUGAGAAUCCCCAGCAUUCCCCAAAGGGAACAGGAAAGCGGUGAAGGAAGAGAAUCAGCAGGAGACUGCAUCAACAGUAGAAGAAAUUGGAAAAAAAUGGAGGAAGGUAGAUGGAGGUGAAGAAGAAGAAAAGAUAAAUAACAGAGAAAGGUGAAAGAAAAUGCAAUCAGAGAAAAACAGAAAAGAGGAAGACAGGACGAGAGAACAGGAGACUGUACUGUAAUUUGUGAACUGGCCCUUUGUAAAGUCUCCACAAAGUCUGCUUCUGAGGACUUCAGCAGACCAUCUACUGCUGUCUAUCACUGCAAUCAACCUGAAUGGUGUUGUGCCUCCUGAGCCCUGGUGAAGGUGGAUCCUUUUCCAUCAGUUGUUCUUCAUCUGGAGGUGGAUUCACUUCCCCAGGCUCUACGUUCUCCUCAUCCGCUUUCAUUGCCUCCUCAUCAAAUCUCCACCCCAUCAACUCUGGCUCUUUAGAGGGGAGAGGAUCCAUUGUCCUUCCUAGAACAUAGACAAGUGGUCCUUUGAUGUGUUUGCACCAAAUUAUACUGGUGGAGAUCAUGCACUGAAAUUCAUUUUCUCUGAACUUCUCACAUGCUAUGAUCUGAUCAAUUGUUUCAAGAUUCCCAUUUCUGCCCUGGUGUCCUUUGUGGAAGCUCUGGAGGUUGGAUACAGCAAACA
Molecule: non-coding RNA, 1387 nt
Organism: Meleagris gallopavo (turkey)
Lineage: Eukaryota; Metazoa; Chordata; Aves; Galliformes; Phasianidae
Source: RefSeq, a predicted model, not a curated record